GUUCCCUACGGGGGGCAGCAGUAGGGAAUUUUCGUCAAUGGGCGCAAGCCUGAACGAGCAAUGCCGCGUGAACGAGGAAGGUCAUCGGAUCGUAAAGUUCUGGUUAAGGGGAAAAAGAGCGGAGAGAGGAAAUGCUUUCUGAUUGAUAUUACCCUUCGAGGAAGUCACGGCUAACUACGUGCCAGCAGCCGCGGUAAUACGUAGGUGGCGAGCGUUAUCCGGAAUGAUUGGGCGUAAAGGGUGCGUAGGCGGCCUGCUAAGUCUGGAGUGAAAGGUACCGGCUCAACCGGUACAGGCUCUGGAAA
Molecule: ribosomal RNA, 305 nt
Filed under: uncultured bacterium
Lineage: Bacteria
Description: bacterial SSU rRNA
Rfam family: Bacterial small subunit ribosomal RNA
Source: RNAcentral